This 22-nucleotide microRNA is filed under the name Gallus gallus (chicken). RNAcentral's name for it is "microRNA Ros-gga". The record is from RNAcentral. Lineage: Eukaryota; Metazoa; Chordata; Aves; Galliformes; Phasianidae.
GGGUGCUGGGACGAUGCUGACC